Halichondria panicea is the source of this 2320-nucleotide RNA transcript. RefSeq lists it as uncharacterized. NCBI's taxonomy places the organism in Eukaryota, Metazoa, Porifera, Demospongiae, Suberitida, Halichondriidae. The transcript has 13 exons. The record is from RefSeq and is a predicted model, not a curated record.
GUUCCUGCACCAAGCACACUGAUUAAGGAUGGUUGGAUAAUUGAGUGCAGUGACUACCACGUUGGCUGCAGCCAAACCUUCAGGAUUGAUGAGCUCUUGUAUCAUGAGAAGUCGGAAUUUCAAGAUAUUGUUGUCAUCAAAAACACUCUGUGGUUUUAACUUCAAACGGAAGUGUAACAACCAUGUGAAAAAUGCUGCAAUCUGAUAGGGCGCCACUAUAGUGGCGGCAGAACAAAUUUAAGAUAAUAAGCUUGCAACCCGACCUCUCGUCCUAACGGAGUCGGGCUACGCCCAACUACACAAUAAUUGAGUUGUUUGGCACAAUGUUGUUCCUGGAUGGAGCCAUACAGCUCUCUGAGAGAGACGAGUGUGCCUACCAUGAGAGCAUUGUGCACUUACCACUCCUCAGUCAUCCUAACCCUAAAUCAGUGUUGGUAGUUGGUGGUGGUGAUGGUGGGGUGCUGAGAGAAGUAGCAAAGCACUCUACAGUAGAGGAAAUUCAUCUCUGUGAAAUUGAUGAGAAAGUGAUUGAAGUAUCUAAGAAAUACCUACCAAUGACAGCUGUAGGAUUCUCUGAUCCCAGAGUCAAAGUGCACAUUCAAGAUGGGAAUGUGUUUUUGGAAGAUAACAAGGGCAAGUUCGAUGUGAUCAUCACCGACUCUUCAGACUCCUCUGGUCUGGCUUCUGUCCUAUUUGAGAAACCGUACCACCAGAAGAUGAAGGAAGCCUUGAAACCAGGAGGCAUUAUAUGCAGUCAAGCUGAUGAAGUAUCGUGGACUGAGCAACAAGGUCGUUUUAGUCCUCCAUGCAUCACCAAGUUGUUGGAAGUUUGCAGGACUCUGUUUCCAGUUACUGCUACUGCUACGUCCAAUGUUCCAACCUUUCCUUGUGGACUGUGUACCUUUGUAAUGGCCAGUACCAACAAGGACACAGUGUUUGAGAGACCUCUGAGGAAACUGACUGAACGGGAGGCUGAAGACAUGAACCUCCAGUACUAUGACAGCGAGCUGCAUGCAGGAGCAUUUGUGCAUCCACGAUUUGCCCGGAAGGCAACUUUGGCAGUGGGAGUGGCUAGCUGUGGAUGGAGUGGGCAGUGGGUGCACGAGACUGACUAGCUACCACGUGGCAUUAUUUUAUCAAAGAAGCUGAGAGAUCACUGUGUCUGGUUAUUGGAGGAGUUUUGGCAUUCAGACUGGCUAGGCUGUGAAAGAAGUGAUUCAUCAUACUGGUCUUUCAGAUGGCUUGUCGUAUAUCCUAGCUCACAACAGCCUUACCUACCUGCACAUUUCCUGCCCUAGCUUGUGCUGCAGUUGGUGUUUGUGUUAACAGGGAAACGUUCAUUUGGUAGUUGGUAGUGCCAAUGGUAUUUUUCGCGAAAAAUAAGAAGCGGCACUUUUGAAGGAGAUAAAAGAGGAAAUCUUUUUUCUAAUACCUUCAGGGUUUCCACGGUUAUAAUGCAGGGUGCUGAAUGGUAGCAAAACGCUGAACACCUAACAUUUGAGGAAAUAUGAAAUUGAUGAGCACAUGUAGAAUGCAGUGUCAGCAAAAAAAAGACCGUCCCUCAAAUGGCUGACAUAAGCAAUAAUGACUUAUUUAGGAGCUCGGCCGUAUAGGCAGUGAGCAAAAACUGAGGAGGGAGGUUGAUCUGAAAGAAGUAUGCAACUAACAGUGGCCUAACUAUUGAAGUUGAUAUACUAACCUGUUGUAUAACUAACUGUUGGUGGACUAUACUAUGCUAUUGCACUCUGAGUGUGUAACAACUGUCUCUGUUUUGUGGGUCAGAUUGUAGUAGGGAUGAGUGCUAGAAAAACCUGCUGAGCUAACUGCUGUGUCCGUGAUCACAUUUCAUUGACUCAAUUUUAGUUUAGCCGUACACUGAUUUGCCCUAAAUGUGUUUUGUUAUCAGGGAAACAUCCUUUCUCAGAUUGGUGAUGAUAGAGUCUUGAGAGAAGUGGCAAAGCACUCCACAGUCAAGGGAAUUCACCUCCGUGAGAUUAAUGAGAUUGGAUUGGUGAUGGUAGAGUCCUGAGAGAAGUGGCAAAGCACUCCACAGUCGAGGAAAUUCACCUCCGUGAGAUUAACGAGGUCAAAGUUCACAUCUGGGACGGUACCAGUUUCUCAACAUCCACAAAUACCAUUUUUUGGCUGAACAAUUGUCAAGAAGGCACUGGAAGUCAAACGCAAGAUUGCUGACUUGAACGUUCUUUAUCGUGCUAAACUCUUCAAUGUAUGCAAUGUUGAUAUCAACACUAAUAGUAUAGUCUAGUAAUGUAUUGAAAACUUGUCACGAAUUUUAAAUAUCAACCCCAGUCAAAAUUUA